UUAGCUCACCUGGCCCAAAGGGCCAAGUGAGCUUUUCCCAUCACUUUGCGUCCGUCGUCGUUGUUAACUUUUACAAAAAUCUUCUCCUCUGAAACUACUGGGCCAAAUUUAACCAAACUUGGCCACAAUCAUCAUUGGGGUAUCUAGUUUAAAAAUGUGUCCGGUGACCCGGCCAACCAACCAAGAUGGCCGCCAUGGCUAAAAAUAGAACAUAGGGG
RNAcentral lists this long non-coding RNA (218 nucleotides) under Mytilus galloprovincialis (Mediterranean mussel). Lineage: Eukaryota; Metazoa; Mollusca; Bivalvia; Mytilida; Mytilidae. The record is from RNAcentral.